This 115-nucleotide ribosomal RNA is filed under the name Danio rerio (zebrafish). The record is from RNAcentral. Lineage: Eukaryota; Metazoa; Chordata; Actinopteri; Cypriniformes; Danionidae.
ACUGGCAGCUAGCUCGAUGCAACUCUCACAUCGUUGUCCACUAAUGCUAAGCAGGGCUGCGCCCGGUAAGUACCUGGAUGGGAGACCACAUGGGAAAGCUAGGUUGCUGCCGGAA